UACGGGGGGGGUAAGCGUUGUUCGGAAUUACUGGGCGUAAAGGGCUCGUAGGCGGCCAACUAAGUCGGACGUGAAAUCCCUCAGCUUAACUGGGGAACUGCGUCCGAUACUGGAUGGCUUGGAUUUGGGAGAGGGAUGCGGAAUUCCAGGUGUAGCGGUGAAAUGCGUAGAUAUCUGGAGGAACACCGGUGGCGAAGGCGGCAUCCUGGACCAACAUUGACGCUGAGGAGCGAAAGCGUGGGGAGCGAACAGG
This 253-nucleotide ribosomal RNA is filed under the name uncultured bacterium. RNAcentral describes it as "partial 16S ribosomal RNA". It matches the Rfam family "Bacterial small subunit ribosomal RNA", at positions 524 to 776 of the family's 1533-position model. The record is from RNAcentral.